RNAcentral lists this long non-coding RNA (523 nucleotides) under Homo sapiens (human). RNAcentral describes it as "HSALNT0041303". Lineage: Eukaryota; Metazoa; Chordata; Mammalia; Primates; Hominidae. The record is from RNAcentral.
CUUGCACAGGCCCCUAAUGGAUCCUAUGAGCAGUAGGAGGGGGUUAUGACUAGAGAAGAUGCAGACAUAGGCCUGUCCCUGCAAGUUAGUUCCCUGAGCUGGAGCUGACUCUUCCCAGGAUGACUGAGAGUGGAAACAACCAGUCCCCCAGGGAAGGCCCAACCCUGACUUUUUAUCUCCACUGAAAAAUGAUAUCAGAAUACAUAGGUGUGGCCAGGUGCUCAUGUCUGUAAUCCCAGCACUUUGGGAGGCUGAGGCGGGUGGAUUGCUUCGAGCCCAGACAACAUGCUGAAACCCCAUCUCUGCAAAAAAUACAAAACUUAGCUGGGCGUGGUGGCCUGCACCUGUAGUCCCAGUCAAGGUUAAGUUUUAUCCAGCCUGGUCCAGAACUGACCACAGCUACUUCUCAUGAAUGAGUUUAGGACCUAGGCUUGCACCACCACUCUUGCUUCAUACUUUGAGGUUCCAGCCCCUUACCUCGCCAGUUUUUGCUGCUUCUCACGUAGGUAAGUUUUGAACCAUU